GACGAACGCUGGCGGCGUGCCUAACACAUGCAAGUCGAACGGAAAGGCCCUGCUUUCGCCGGGUGCUCGAGUGGCGAACGUGAGUGUUACACAUGAGUCACCUGCCCUUUACUUUGUGAUAACUUCAGGAAACUGGGGCUAAUACCGGAUAGGAGCUCCUGCUGCAUGGGGGGCGUUGGACAGUUUCGGCGGUUGGGGAUGGACUCCCGGCUUAUCAGCUUGUUGGUGGGGGAGUGGCUAACCAAGGCUUUGGCGGGUAGCCGGCCUGGGAGGGUGACCGGCGACAUUGGGACUGAGAUACGGCCCAGACUCCUACGGGGGGCAGCAGUGGGGAAUAUUGCACAAUGGGCGGAAGCCUGAUGCAGCAACGCCGCGUGCGGGAUGACGGCCUUCGGGUUGUAAACCGCUUUCGCCUGUGACGAAGCGUUAGUGACGGUAAUGGGUAAAGAAGCACCGGCUAACUACGUG
Molecule: ribosomal RNA, 468 nt
Filed under: uncultured bacterium
Lineage: Bacteria
Description: partial 16S ribosomal RNA
Rfam family: Bacterial small subunit ribosomal RNA
Source: RNAcentral